RNAcentral lists this ribosomal RNA (315 nucleotides) under uncultured eukaryote. RNAcentral's name for it is "partial 18S ribosomal RNA". It matches the Rfam family "Eukaryotic small subunit ribosomal RNA", at positions 1470 to 1796 of the family's 1831-position model. The record is from RNAcentral.
CCCCUAGACGUUCUGGGCCGCACGCGCGCUACACUGACCAGUGCAACAAGCAUCCGUCCUUGGCCGACAGGCUCGGGCAAUCUUUGAACGCUGGUCGUGAUGGGGAUAGACUUUUGCAAUUUUUGGUCUUCAACGAGGAAUUCCUAGUAAACGCAAGUCAUCAACUUGCAUUGAUUACGUCCCUGCCCUUUGUACACACCGCCCGUCGCACCUACCGAUUGAAUGGUCCGGUGAAGCCUCCGGAUUGGCGCGCACCUCGGUGCCGCCGAGAAGUUGGCUAAACCUUACCAUUUAGAGGAAGGUGAAGUCGUANCA